RNAcentral lists this ribosomal RNA (427 nucleotides) under uncultured bacterium. RNAcentral's name for it is "bacterial SSU rRNA". It matches the Rfam family "Bacterial small subunit ribosomal RNA", at positions 355 to 774 of the family's 1533-position model. The record is from RNAcentral.
UGGGGAAUUUUGGACAAUGGGCGCAAGCCUGAUCCAGCCAUGCCGCGUGCAGGAUGAAGGCCUUCGGGUUGUAAACUGCUUUUGUACGGAACGAAAAGGUGCCUUCUAAUAAAGGGCGCUCAUGACGGUACCGUAAGAAUAAGCACCGGCUAACUACGUGCCAGCAGCCGCGGUAAUACGUAGGGUGCGAGCGUUAAUCGGAAUUACUGGGCGUAAAGCGUGCGCAGGCGGUUUUGUAAGACAGAGGUGAAAUCCCCGGGCUCAACCUGGGAACUGCCUUUGUGACUGCAAGGCUGGAGUGCGGCAGAGNGGGAUGGAAUUCCGCGUGUAGCAGUGAAAUGCGUAGAUAUGCGGAGGAACACCGAUGGCGAAGGCAGUCCCCUGGGCCUGUACUGACGCUCAUGCACGAAAGCGUGGGGAGCAAACA